Molecule: transfer RNA, 77 nt
Filed under: Bacillus cereus
Lineage: Bacteria; Bacillati; Bacillota; Bacilli; Caryophanales; Bacillaceae
Description: tRNA-Arg
Rfam family: tRNA
About the family: Transfer RNA (tRNA) molecules are approximately 80 nucleotides in length. Their secondary structure includes four short double-helical elements and three loops (D, anti-codon, and T loops).
Source: RNAcentral
GCGCCCGUAGCUCAAUUGGAUAGAGCAUUUGACUACGGAUCAAGAGGUUAGGGGUUCGACUCCUCUCGGGCGCGCCA